Molecule: ribosomal RNA, 548 nt
Filed under: Hansenula anomala
Lineage: Eukaryota; Fungi; Ascomycota; Saccharomycetes; Phaffomycetales; Wickerhamomycetaceae
Description: eukaryotic LSU rRNA
Rfam family: Eukaryotic large subunit ribosomal RNA
Source: RNAcentral
GCGAGUGAAGCGGCAAAAGCUCAAAUUUGAAAUCUAGCACCUUCGGUGUUCGAGUUGUAAUUUGAAGAUGGUAACCUUGGGUUUGGCUCUUGUCUAUGUUCCUUGGAACAGGACGUCAUAGAGGGUGAGAAUCCCGUCUGAUGAGAUGCCCAUUCCUAUGUAAGGUGCUAUCGAAGAGUCGAGUUGUUUGGGAAUGCAGCUCUAAGUGGGUGGUAAAUUCCAUCUAAAGCUAAAUAUUGGCGAGAGACCGAUAGCGAACAAGUACAGUGAUGGAAAGAUGAAAAGAACUUUGAAAAGAGAGUGAAAAAGUACGUGAAAUUGUUGAAAGGGAAGGGCAUUAGAUCAGACUUGGUGUUUUACGAUUAUCUUCUCUUCUUGAGUUGUGCACUCGUAUUUCACUGGGCCAGCAUCGAUUCGGAUGGCAAGAUAAUGGCAGUUGAAUGUGGCUUCACUUCGGUGGAGUGUUAUAGCUUCUGCUGAUAUUGCCUGUCUGGAUCGAGGGCUGCGUCUUUUGACUAGGAUGCUGGCGUAAUGAUCUAAUGCCGCCC